UUUUGCCCUUGGGCCAUCUGCAACCAGACAGCAAUAAACUCUUUGCUAGUUGCUUGAACUUUGCCUGCCUCAGUAGUCUCAAUUUUGUCUGUCUGAUCUUACAGGAACGAGAGAGUCUAUUUAUAAUUAUGCAUCCAUUUGUUGACUCCCUAUAAGGAAGGUAAAUGCAGUUGGACAAAGAUUGAUUCUGGAAAGGAUCCUCUGGGUAAUUGAUGUAUUACUCAGAAUUUGGAUAUUGAAACGAGCAACAUAUUGCUUUUCCAGAGGGAAAACACUCCAUGAAACUGAGUCAACAUUUAAGAAAAUGUCCUCAGAAUCAUUUGACAAAGACAACACAGAAAAGAAUCCAUAUGGAUUAGUUAAAUGAUAAGAUGCCUUUAAAAUUGGUAAAUAGGAUGCCGAGCCAAAGUCGCAAGUCCUGUGGAACGCGCCGAAUCAGCUCGCUACAGACAGGCAGGUCUGCGGACACCAUAGCAAAGUGGCGAGUCACACCGAAUGCGCCCAAUCAGCC
Heterocephalus glaber (naked mole-rat) is the source of this 511-nucleotide long non-coding RNA. NCBI's taxonomy places the organism in Eukaryota, Metazoa, Chordata, Mammalia, Rodentia, Bathyergidae. The record is from Ensembl.